RNAcentral lists this transfer RNA (71 nucleotides) under Chitinophaga polysaccharea. RNAcentral describes it as "tRNA-Gln". It matches the Rfam family "tRNA". Rfam says of the family: Transfer RNA (tRNA) molecules are approximately 80 nucleotides in length. The record is from RNAcentral. Lineage: Bacteria; Pseudomonadati; Bacteroidota; Chitinophagia; Chitinophagales; Chitinophagaceae.
UGAUCUAUGGUGUAAUGGUAGCACAUCGGGCGUUGGACCCGAUAGUUUGGGUUCGAAUCCUUAUAGAUCAA